ACUUAACUGAAAUUUAUUGUUUUAUUUUAUAGCAUUUUUUUUGACAGCUGUCAAAAGACAGGACAAUCAGUCUUUGGACAGUGUGAGCACUGUGGCAUUUUGGAUGAUCAGACUGUACAGUUUGAGUACAUAAAUCAUUAGUUUUGACCAUAAAUUGCUUAUAGUUUACUUGUACAAUGUGUAGUGCUGGUAUAAAAAAGAUUUACAAAAAAAUCAUACAUUGUAUGCCCAGUUUGGUACUGCUGAUGUUGAUCAUGUAUGUUCUUUUUUUUGCUGAGAUUUCUGCUUUGAGCGUCAUCGGUGGGGUCGAUGUCAAGGACACCGUGUGGCGGAUCAUGAAAAGCCUAUUCACCAACUCCCUGGCCAAACAACUUAACUGGCGUGGUGUGAAUGGGAAAGCAGCAUUCCACAGCCUCCAGUUAAAAGAUGUAGUUACUGGAACAGCCAGAAACAAUAAGUUAACGGCCACCGCAACAGACCAGGAGGUGGAGACUUAUAUAAAAAAGUGGCUUCAUCUUGCUGGAGACAGGGAUGGUGGGAGGAGAGAGAGAGAGCAAAAAAGGCGUUCCACACAGCUCGCACGGACAGAUGAAGACGAGACAAUGUUGGGCCCAUGAUUUAUUGGAAGCUGGAGGUCCACAACUGUGUUCCACAUUUCAUCUGUUCAUCUGUUUGGUUUUUUUCCUGUUUCGUGGCACAGUUAAAGAAUAAAGAAUAGUUCUCAGCUGUUUA
Long non-coding RNA from Melanotaenia boesemani (Boeseman's rainbowfish), 732 nucleotides. RefSeq lists it as uncharacterized. The transcript has 3 exons. Lineage: Eukaryota; Metazoa; Chordata; Actinopteri; Atheriniformes; Melanotaeniidae. The record is from RefSeq and is a predicted model, not a curated record.